This 776-nucleotide ribosomal RNA is filed under the name uncultured bacterium. RNAcentral's name for it is "bacterial SSU rRNA". It matches the Rfam family "Bacterial small subunit ribosomal RNA", at positions 74 to 844 of the family's 1533-position model. The record is from RNAcentral.
GGGUGCUUGCACCUGGUGGCGAGUGGCGAACGGGUGAGUAAUGCGUCGGAACGUACCGAGUAAUGGGGGAUAACGCAGCGAAAGUUGUGCUAAUACCGCAUACGCCCUGAGGGGGAAAGUGGGGGACCGCAAGGCCUCACGUUAUUCGAGCGGCCGACGUCUGAUUAGCUAGUUGGUGGGGUAAAGGCCUACCAAGGCGACGAUCAGUAGCGGGUCUGAGAGGAUGAUCCGCCACACUGGGACUGAGACACGGCCCAGACUCCUACGGGAGGCAGCAGUGGGGAAUUUUGGACAAUGGGGGCAACCCUGAUCCAGCCAUUCCGCGUGAGUGAAGAAGGCCUUCGGGUUGUAAAGCUCUUUCAGCUGGAACGAAACGGUACGCGCUAACAUCGUGUGCUAAUGACGGUACCGGCAGAAGAAGCACCGGCUAACUACGUGCCAGCAGCCGCGGUAAUACGUAGGGUGCGAGCGUUAAUCGGAAUUACUGGGCGUAAAGCGUGCGCAGGCGGAUUGUUAAGCAAGACGUGAAAUCCCCGGGCUUAACCUGGGAAUGGCGUUUUGAACUGGCAGUCUAGAGUGCGUCAGAGGGGGGUGGAAUUCCACGUGUAGCAGUGAAAUGCGUAGAGAUGUGGAGGAACACCGAUGGCGAAGGCAGCCCCCUGGGAUGACACUGACGCUCAUGUACGAAAGCGUGGGUAGCAAACAGGAUUAGAUACCCUGGUAGUCCACGCCCUAAACGAUGUCAACUGGUUGUUGGGGGAGUGAAAUCCCUUAGU